UCGAGGAUUUUUCACAAUGGGCGAAAGCCUGAUGGAGCGACGCCGCGUGGGGGAUGAAUGGCUUCGGCCCGUAAACCCCUGUCAUUUGCGAGCAAAGCUGUCGGCCUAAUACGCUGACAGUUGAUAGUAGCGAAAGAGGAAGGGACGGCUAACUCUGUGCCAGCAGCCGCGGUAAUACAGAGGUCCCAAGCGUUGUUCGGAUUCACUGGGCAUAAAGGGUGCGUAGGUGGCAGGGUAAGUUCGGUGUGAAAUCCCCGAGCUCAACUCGGGAAUGGCAUUGAAUACUAUCCUGCUGGAGGAUCGGAGGGGAGACUGGAAUUCUCGGUGUAGCAGUGAAAUGCGUAGAUAUCGAGAGGAACACCAGUGGCGAAGGCGAGUCUCUGGACGAUUCCUGACACUG
This 400-nucleotide ribosomal RNA is filed under the name uncultured bacterium. RNAcentral describes it as "bacterial SSU rRNA". It matches the Rfam family "Bacterial small subunit ribosomal RNA", at positions 355 to 748 of the family's 1533-position model. The record is from RNAcentral.